This 261-nucleotide ribosomal RNA is filed under the name uncultured bacterium. Its description in RNAcentral is "partial 16S ribosomal RNA". It matches the Rfam family "Bacterial small subunit ribosomal RNA", at positions 526 to 779 of the family's 1533-position model. The record is from RNAcentral.
CGUAGGGUGCAAGCGUUAAUCGGAAUUACUGGGCGUAAAGCGUGCGCAGGCGGUUGUGCAAGACCGAUGUGAAAUCCCCGGGCGUUAACCUAGGGAAGUGGCAUUGGUUGGACUGCACGGCUAGAGUGUGUCAGAGGGGGUAGGAAUUCCACGUGUAGCAGUGAAAUAGCGUAGAGAUGUGGAGGAAUACCGAUGGCGAAGGCAGCCCCCUCGGGAGUAACACUGACGCUCAUGCACGAAAGCGUGGGAGCAAACAGGAUU